Molecule: long non-coding RNA, 669 nt
Filed under: Ananas comosus (pineapple)
Lineage: Eukaryota; Viridiplantae; Streptophyta; Magnoliopsida; Poales; Bromeliaceae
Description: long non-coding RNA (ACOM_LNC039876)
Source: RNAcentral
AUAUAUAUAUAUGUUUUAAAAACGUAAAAUAACUUAUUAUUUAAAAUAUCAUAACAUAUAAUAAAAAUAUUUAAAGUCGUAAAGCAAAAAUAUUUCAUAAUAUAAAAGACGCGUAAUAAGAAAUUAGGAUUAAAAUUUUUAGGAUGAGUAAAUAAAAAAUAUAUAUUAAUUAAGAAAAUAUAUUUUGUAAAUAAAAUAUAUAUGUGCGGGUAUCCGUGGGUCCCUGCGGAUUAUCCAAAAUACCCACUGCUUAAUGGGUACCCAUCCGUUUUACUUGUAAUUUUUUGGGUUGGAAAAAUUGGUACCUAUACCCGUAAAUUUUUGGAUAAUCCGCGGGUACCCACGUGUUUGGGUCAAGAUUUCCAGGUCUAGCAUUAAGGGCCCGUUUGGAUUGUAGAUAAGGGAUGGAAUAACCCCUUGUCCCUCUCUUUAUACUCAAAUGCUAAUUUUUUAUUCGAGAAUAGUAGUUCUCGGGUAUCUGAAAUAAGCUGGUAUAACUAUCCCCACCAACACAUCUAUUUUCUAUAUAUAACUACCCACUAUUUUUCUUAUUCGAUCUUAUCUACCUAAACGCUAUUUUUUUAUCCCCGAAAACAACUCAAUUUUCAUCCAAACGCUAUUUUUCUUAUCCCUAUACUUGUACCUAUCCCUGUAAAGGGAUGGGAACUA